Molecule: long non-coding RNA, 416 nt
Filed under: Rosa chinensis
Lineage: Eukaryota; Viridiplantae; Streptophyta; Magnoliopsida; Rosales; Rosaceae
Description: sRNA RchiOBHm_Chr2g0125881
Source: RNAcentral
UUUGGAUUGGACUUGUUCGAAACAUGCUAUCAUUCACUGUAUAACUUAAGUUCUCCAUAUCUUGCUUAGUCAUAUGAAUGUCACAGGUUUAUUAACCAUGGAAUUAUCUUUGUGAUUUUGAUUAAGUGUUUAACGUGAAAGCCAUGAGUUUGGAGUCUCUGAGACAACAGUUAGGAGCAAUAGAGGACUAGCAAAAGCUAAGUGUGGGGGAAUUUGAUAGGAGCAUUUUAAUGUGAUAUUUUAAUAGUUAAUUCCUCACAUUUUGCUUAGUUAAUUCCUUAACGAAUCGAUUUUUAACUCAAUUUCUAUUUUCUUAGGUACAUUGGAGUAAAUGAUGGUGAAAUGAGCAUUAUGUCCACACUUACCUACAAAUGGUGGAGAUAAAAUUGAAGUAAAUGAGUAGGAAAUCCAUCAUC